Molecule: ribosomal RNA, 254 nt
Filed under: uncultured bacterium
Lineage: Bacteria
Description: partial 16S ribosomal RNA
Rfam family: Bacterial small subunit ribosomal RNA
Source: RNAcentral
UACGUAGGGUGCAAGCGUUGUCCGGAAUUAUUGGGCGUAAAGAGCUCGUAGGCGGUUCGUCGCGUCUGCUGUGAAAACCCGAGGCUCAACCUCGGGCCUGCAGUGGGUACGGGCAGACUAGAGUGCGGUAGGGGAGAUUGGAAUUCCUAGUGUAGCGGUGGAAUGCGCAGAUAUCAGGAGGAACACCAAUGGCGAAGGCAGAUCUCUGGGCCGUAACUGACGCUGAGGAGCGAAAGCAUGGGGGAGCGAACAGG